UUUGGGGGUGUAAUGCCUUCGGUCGAUUCUCAAACUUUAAAUACGCAAGAAAGAGAUGGUUGCUUAAUUGAACCUCUCUUCUGAAAACGUCGGCCCUGUGGGCCACUUUUGGUAAGCAGAACUGGCGAUAUGGGAUGAACCAUAAGUUUGGUUAAGGCGUCAAAAUCCCGGCUUAAAGAUCCCACAAAAGGUGUUGGUUCAUAUAGACAGCAGGACGGUGGCCAUGGAAGUCGGAAUCCGCUAAGGAGUGUGUAACAACUCACCUGCCGAAUGAACUAGCCCUGAAAAUGGAUGACGCUUAAGCCGGGUGCCGACACCAGACCGUUUUGGUAAGAAGCGACCAAAAUGAGUAGGAGGGCGUGGCGAUUUUGUUUAGAAGGGUCAGACGCAAGUCUACCUGAAACGGUCGCUAGUGCAGAUCUUGGUGGUAGUAGCAAAUAUUUAAGCGAGAUCCUUAAAGGUCGAAGCGGGGAAGGGUUCCACGCGAACAUUGAUUGGGCGUGGGUGAGUCGUUCCUAAGCCGGGUGGUAAUCGUUCUUACGAUCGGCGAAAGGGAAGUUGGUUAAAAUUCCAACACACGGAUGUGGAGGCGGUGACGCAAAUUGAGGUGGAGACGUUAGCGGUGACACUGGGCAGAGUUUUCUUUUCUGUUUAACCUGUGCUGCACUCUGUGGAAUCCGAUUAUCGGGAGAAACAGGUGCUUAUGGGAAGAGCGUCGGGGGGUCCCCGGCGUCCAGUACGUCACCGAUAACCCUUGAAAAUCCAUCUGCAAUAUAAUUUCACGCCGUGGCGUACCGAUAACCGCAGCAGGUCCCCAAGGUGAACAGCCUCUGAUCAAUAUGAACAAUGCAGGUAAGGGAAGUCGGCAAAAUAGACCCGUAACUUUGGGAAAAGGGUUGGCUCUAGUGGGGCGAAGGAAAAACCUGGGCUAUAGUGAUUUGGUGCGGGCGGACUGUCGGAGUUAAA
RNAcentral lists this ribosomal RNA (966 nucleotides) under Lithophyllum incrustans. Its description in RNAcentral is "eukaryotic LSU rRNA". It matches the Rfam family "Eukaryotic large subunit ribosomal RNA", at positions 1029 to 2022 of the family's 3401-position model. The record is from RNAcentral. Lineage: Eukaryota; Rhodophyta; Florideophyceae; Corallinales; Lithophyllaceae.